This is a non-coding RNA of Pelobates cultripes (western spadefoot toad), 101 nucleotides long. The record is from the annotation of a GenBank genome assembly. Lineage: Eukaryota; Metazoa; Chordata; Amphibia; Anura; Pelobatidae.
GUAGAAGGAGUACAUAUACUAAAGUUGGAACGAUAGAGAGAAGAUUAGCAUGGUCCCUGCGCAAGAAUGACAUGCAAAUUUGUGAAGCGUUCCAUAUUUUU